This 72-nucleotide transfer RNA is filed under the name Yarrowia galli. Its description in RNAcentral is "transfer RNA-His". The stretch from base 8 to 63 matches the Rfam family "tRNA", at positions 8 to 63 of the family's 71-position model. From Rfam's summary of the family: Transfer RNA (tRNA) molecules are approximately 80 nucleotides in length. Their secondary structure includes four short double-helical elements and three loops (D, anti-codon, and T loops). The record is from RNAcentral. Lineage: Eukaryota; Fungi; Ascomycota; Dipodascomycetes; Dipodascales.
AUGUUCAUAGUUUAAUGGUAAAACAUAGACUUGUGGUGUCUAAUUUUUGAGUUCGAGUCUCUAAUUUACAUC